This 151-nucleotide long non-coding RNA is filed under the name Struthio camelus australis. Its description in RNAcentral is "lncRNA (ENSSCUG00000012228.1)". The record is from RNAcentral. Lineage: Eukaryota; Metazoa; Chordata; Aves; Struthioniformes; Struthionidae.
CCCCGCGCCCGUCCGACCUCUGCGCUGGCCCCGCUGGGGAACUUCGCAGCAUCCUGAACCACUCCUGCAGAAGACAUUUCGUCAUUGGGUAUCCACAAUACUCUGAAAUACCCCCUCCACUGAGGAAAUAAAUCUACAUACAUAAGCACUG